Molecule: transfer RNA, 69 nt
Filed under: Ethmidium maculatum (Pacific menhaden)
Lineage: Eukaryota; Metazoa; Chordata; Actinopteri; Clupeiformes; Clupeidae
Description: tRNA-Glu
Rfam family: tRNA
About the family: Transfer RNA (tRNA) molecules are approximately 80 nucleotides in length. Their secondary structure includes four short double-helical elements and three loops (D, anti-codon, and T loops). Further hydrogen bonds mediate the characteristic L-shaped molecular structure. tRNAs have two regions of fundamental functional importance: the anti-codon, which is responsible for specific mRNA codon recognition, and the 3' end, to which the tRNAs corresponding amino acid is attached (by aminoacyl-tRNA synthetases). tRNAs cope with the degeneracy of the genetic code in two manners: having more than one tRNA (with a specific anti-codon) for a particular amino acid; and 'wobble' base-pairing, i.e. permitting non-standard base-pairing at the 3rd anti-codon position.
Source: RNAcentral
GUUUCUAUAGUUGAAUAACAACGGUGGUUUUUCGAGUCACUGGUCUCGGUUAGAGUCCGGGUAGAAAUU